UUUGAUCCUGGCUCAGGACGAACGCUGGCGGCAUGCCUAAUACAUGCAAGUCGAACGAGCUUCCGUUGAAUGAUGUGCUUGCACUGAUUUCAACAAUGAAGCGAGUGGCGAACUGGUGAGUAACACGUGGGAAAUCUGCCCAGAAGCAGGGGAUAACACUUGGAAACAGGUGCUAAUACCGUAUAACAACAAAAUCCGCAUGGAUUUUGUUUGAAAGGUGGCUUCGGCUAUCACUUCUGGAUGAUCCCGCGGCGUAUUAGUUAGUUGGUGAGGUAAAGGCCCACCAAGACGAUGAUACGUAGCCGACCUGAGAGGGUAAUCGGCCACAUUGGGACUGAGACACGGCCCAAACUCCUACGGGAGGCAGCAGUAGGGAAUCUUCCACAAUGGACGAAAGUCUGAUGGAGCAAUGCCGCGUGAGUGAAGAAGGGUUUCGGCUCGUAAAACUCUGUUGUUAAAGAAGAACACCUUUGAGAGUAACUGUUCAAGGGUUGACGGUAUUUAACCAGAAAGCCACGGCUAACUACGUGCCAGCAGCCGCGGUAAUACGUAGGUGGCAAGCGUUGUCCGGAUUUAUUGGGCGUAAAGCGAGCGCAGGCGGUUUUUUAAGUCUGAUGUGAAAGCCUUCGGCUUAACCGGAGAAGUGCAUCGGAAACUGGGAGACUUGAGUGCAGAAGAGGACAGUGGAACUCCAUGUGUAGCGGUGGAAUGCGUAGAUAUAUGGAAGAACACCAGUGGCGAAGGCGGCUGUCUAGUCUGUAACUGACGCUGAGGCUCGAAAGCAUGGGUAGCGAACAGGAUUAGAUACCCUGGUAGUCCAUGCCGUAAACGAUGAGUGCUAAGUGUUGGAGGGUUUCCGCCCUUCAGUGCUGCAGCUAACGCAUUAAGCACUCCGCCUGGGGAGUACGACCGCAAGGUUGAAACUCAAAGGAAUUGACGGGGGCCCGCACAAGCGGUGGAGCAUGUGGUUUAAUUCGAAGCUACGCGAAGAACCUUACCAGGUCUUGACAUCUUCUGCCAAUCUUAGAGAUAAGACGUUCCCUUCGGGGACAGAAUGACAGUGGUGCAUGGUUGUCGUCAGCUCGUGUCGUGAGAUGUUGGGUUAAGUCCCGCAACGAGCGCACCCUUAUUAUCA
RNAcentral lists this ribosomal RNA (1135 nucleotides) under Levilactobacillus brevis. Its description in RNAcentral is "bacterial SSU rRNA". It matches the Rfam family "Bacterial small subunit ribosomal RNA", at positions 12 to 1113 of the family's 1533-position model. The record is from RNAcentral. Lineage: Bacteria; Bacillati; Bacillota; Bacilli; Lactobacillales; Lactobacillaceae.